UGGGCUCCCCAUUCGACCCG
Molecule: small nuclear RNA, 20 nt
Filed under: Arabidopsis thaliana (thale cress)
Lineage: Eukaryota; Viridiplantae; Streptophyta; Magnoliopsida; Brassicales; Brassicaceae
Description: snRNA_07573
Source: RNAcentral